RNAcentral lists this ribosomal RNA (465 nucleotides) under uncultured bacterium. RNAcentral describes it as "bacterial SSU rRNA". It matches the Rfam family "Bacterial small subunit ribosomal RNA", at positions 329 to 792 of the family's 1533-position model. The record is from RNAcentral.
GACCAGACUCCUACGGGAGGCAGCAGUGAGGAAUAUUGGUCAAUGGCCGAGAGGCUGAACCAGCCAAGUCGCGUGAGGGAAGAAUGUCCUAUGGAUUGUAAACCUCUUUUGUCAGGGAGCAAAGUCACCCACGUGUGGGUGUUGGAGAGUACCUGAAGAAAAAGCAUCGGCUAACUCCGUGCCAGCAGCCGCGGUAAUACGGAGGAUGCGAGCGUUAUCCGGAUUUAUUGGGUUUAAAGGGUGCGCAGGCGGAAUGUCAAGUCAGCGGUAAAAUUUCGGGGCUCAACCCCGUCGUGCCGUUGAAACUGGCGUUCUUGAGUGAGCGAGAAGUAUGCGGAAUGCGUGGUGUAGCGGUGAAAUGCAUAGAUAUCACGCAGAACUCCGAUUGCGAAGGCAGCAUACCGGCGCUCAACUGACGCUCAUGCACGAAAGCGUGGGUAUCGAACAGGAUUAGAUACCCGAGUA